CUAAGUUAUUUAUUUGAAUAUGGAAAUUUUUAUUUAAAAAUUAUCACUUUUGUAAACCUUAAUAGUGUAGUUUAAAUACUAUUUCCCUUAUUGAGUUAUACGGAACUCACUCCAAUCCAUGCCCCCCUCAGAUGAUAGAAGUGAUGGUUCACUCACUAAGUUAUCCCUUGAAGCUUGUUUGAAUCCCUUCAUUGAUCCUUAAGAUGAUUAUGAGUGAUAUGUUUUGUCCGCAGUCUGAUGGAACCAGUUGUAAUGAUAGAAGUGGUUCUUAUAACCUUUGUGUAUUUAAAUUUUAGUAGCCAAUUUUUUGGCCUCAGUUGUAAACAUUAAACCUUUGUUUGUUGUAAGGGAUUCUAUUUUUUUUCUACUGC
Molecule: long non-coding RNA, 371 nt
Filed under: Carica papaya (papaya)
Lineage: Eukaryota; Viridiplantae; Streptophyta; Magnoliopsida; Brassicales; Caricaceae
Description: long non-coding RNA (CPAP_LNC008294)
Source: RNAcentral